GAUAAGGAGCUUGCUCCUUUGACGUUAGCGGCGGACGGGUGAGUAACACGUGGGUAACCUACCUAUAAGACUGGAAUAACUCCGGGAAACCGGGGCUAAUGCCGGAUAACAUUUAGAACCGCAUGGUUCUAAAGUGAAAGAUGGUUUUGCUAUCACUUAUAGAUGGACCCGCGCCGUAUUAGCUAGUUGGUAAGGUAACGGCUUACCAAGGCAACGAUACGUAGCCGACCUGAGAGGGUGAUCGGCCACACUGGAACUGAGACACGGUCCAGACUCCUACGGGAGGCAGCAGUAGGGAAUCUUCCGCAAUGGGCGAAAGCCUGACGGAGCAACGCCGCGUGAGUGAUGAAGGUCUUCGGAUCGUAAAACUCUGUUAUUAGGGAAGAACAAAUGUGUAAGUAACUGUGCACGUCUUGACGGUACCUAAUCAGAAAGCCACGGCUAACUACGUGCCAGCAGCCGCGGUAAUACGUAGGUGGCAAGCGUUAUCCGGAAUUAUUGGGCGUAAAGCGCGCGUAGGCGGUUUCUUAAGUCUGAUGUGAAAGCCCACGGCUCAACCGUGGAGGGUCAUUGGAAACUGGGAAACUUGAGUGCAGAAGAGGAAAGUGGAAUUCCAUGUGUAGCGGUGAAAUGCGCAGAGAUAUGGAGGAACACCAGUGGCGAAGGCGACUUUCUGGUCUGUAACUGACGCUGAUGUGCGAAAGCGUGGGGAUCAAACAGGAUUAGAUACCCUGGUAGUCCACGCCGUAAACGAUGAG
Molecule: ribosomal RNA, 758 nt
Filed under: Staphylococcus cohnii
Lineage: Bacteria; Bacillati; Bacillota; Bacilli; Caryophanales; Staphylococcaceae
Description: bacterial SSU rRNA
Rfam family: Bacterial small subunit ribosomal RNA
Source: RNAcentral